This 663-nucleotide ribosomal RNA is filed under the name uncultured archaeon. RNAcentral's name for it is "bacterial SSU rRNA". It matches the Rfam family "Archaeal small subunit ribosomal RNA", at positions 325 to 989 of the family's 1478-position model. The record is from RNAcentral.
ACGGGGUGCAGCAGGCGCGAAAACUCCGCAAUACACGAAAGUGUGACGGGGGAACCCCGAGUGCACUCACGCAAGUGAGCGCUUUUGUGAAGUGUAAAUAGCUUCACGAAUAAGAGCUGGGUAAGACCGGUGCCAGCCGCCGCGGUAACACCGGCAGCUCGAGUGGUGAUCACUAUUAUUGGGCCUAAAGCGUCCGUAGCCGGUUUGGUAAGUCCUUGGGCAAAUCCUGUCGCUUAACGGCAGGAAUUCUGAGGAUACUGUCAGACUUGAGGCCGAGAGAGGUCGGAGGUACUUCUGGGGUAGCGGUGAAAUGCUAUAAUCCUAGAGGGACCACCGGUGGCGAAGGCGUCCGACUAGAGCGGGCCUGACGGUAAGGGACGAAAGCCAGGGGAGCGAACGGGAUUAGAUACCCCGGUAGUCCUGGCCGUAAACGCUGUGGGCUAGGUGUUGCAUGCUCUACGAGGGCGUGCAGUGCCGAAGAGAAGUUGAUAAGCCUACCGCCUGGGAAGUACUAUCGCAAGAUAGAAACUUAAAGGAAUUGGCGGGGGAGCACCACAAGGGGUGAAGUCUGCGGUUCAAUUGAAUUCAACGCCGGAAAUCUCACUGGAAGCGACGGCAGAAUGACGGCCAAGCUGAUGACUUUGCUUGACGAGCCGAGAGGAG